RNAcentral lists this ribosomal RNA (889 nucleotides) under uncultured bacterium. Its description in RNAcentral is "bacterial SSU rRNA". It matches the Rfam family "Bacterial small subunit ribosomal RNA", at positions 31 to 895 of the family's 1533-position model. The record is from RNAcentral.
CGGCGGGGGAGGGAGGGCUUACACAUGCAAGUCGACGAGAAAUCCUCUGCUUGCAGAGGAGAGUAAAGUGGCGCACGGGUGAGUAACGCGUGGGUAACCUACCCUGGAAUCUGGGAUAACACUGCGAAAGUGGUGCUAAUACCGGGUACGAUCCUUGAGCGGGAGUUUGGGGAUGAGAGCCGGCCUCUUGAAAAAGCUGGUGUUCCGGGAUGGGCUCGCGUCCUAUCAGCUAGUUGGUGGGGUAAUGGCCUACCAAGGCGACGACGGGUAGCUGGUCUGAGAGGAUGAUCAGCCACACUGGCACUGGAACACGGGCCAGACUCCUACGGGAGGCAGCAGUGAGGAAUUUUGCGCAAUGGGGGAAACCCUGACGCAGCAACGCCGCGUGGGUGAAGAAGGCCUUCGGGUCGUAAAGCCCUGUCAGGUGGGAAGAACGGUCCUUAAGCGAACAGUUUGGGGAUUUGACGGUACCACCAGAGGAAGCACCGGCUAACUCCGUGCCAGCAGCCGCGGUAAUACGGAGGGUGCGAGCGUUGUUCGGAAUUAUUGGGCGUAAAGGGCGUGUAGGCGGCUGGGUAAGUCUGAUGUGAAAGCCCGGGGCUCAACCCUGGAAGUGCAUUGGAGACUGCUCGGCUUGAGUACUGGAGAGGAUGGGGGAAUUCCCGGUGUAGAGGUGAAAUUCGUAGAGAUCGCGAGGAAUACCAGUGGCGAAGGCGCCCAUCUGGACGGAUACUGACGCUGAAACGCGAAAGCGUGGGGAGCAAACAGGAUUAGAUACCCUGGUAGUCCACGCUGUAAACGAUGAGCACUAGGUGUAGCGGGUAUUGACCCCUGCUGUGCCGCAGCUAACGCAUUAAGUGCUCCGCCUGGGGAUUACGGUCGCAAGACU